UGUCAAGCCCCGAACAAUGUGACAUUACCCAACCCCGCCAGGUCAGGAAUGAAGCAACGGUAAGUAAUAAUCAUAUGUGAUUCGGGUGUCUUGACUUUU
Molecule: signal recognition particle RNA, 99 nt
Filed under: Bacteroidota bacterium
Lineage: Bacteria; Pseudomonadati; Bacteroidota
Also listed under: 1 other name
Description: Bacteroidetes bacterium (activated sludge metagenome) signal recognition particle sRNA small type
Rfam family: Bacterial small signal recognition particle RNA
About the family: The signal recognition particle (SRP) is a universally conserved ribonucleoprotein involved in the co-translational targeting of proteins to membranes. Archaeal SRP consists of a 7S RNA and homologues of the eukaryotic SRP19 and SRP54 proteins.
Source: RNAcentral